GACGAACGCUGGCGGCGUGCUUAACACAUGCAAGUCGAACGGAAAGGCCCCAGCUUGCUGGGGUACUCGAGUGGCGAACGGGUGAGUAACACGUGGGUGAUCUGCCCUGCACUCUGGGAUAAGCCUGGGAAACUGGGUCUAAUACCGGAUAGGACCGUGCUUUAGUGUGUGCGGUGGAAAGUUUUUCGGUGCAGGAUGAGCCCGCGGCCUAUCAGCUUGUUGGUGGGGUAAUGGCCUACCAAGGCGGCGACGGGUAGCCGGCCUGAGAGGGUGUACGGCCACAUUGGGACUGAGAGACGGCCCAGACUCCUACGGGAGGCAGCAGUGGGGAAUAUUGCACAAUGGGCGCAAGCCUGAUGCAGCGACGCCGCGUGGGGGAUGACGGUCUUCGGGUUGUAAACCCCUUUCGGCAGGGACGAAGCUUUUGUGACGGUACCUGCAUAAGAAGCACCGGCUAACUACGUG
This 465-nucleotide ribosomal RNA is filed under the name uncultured bacterium. RNAcentral describes it as "partial 16S ribosomal RNA". It matches the Rfam family "Bacterial small subunit ribosomal RNA", at positions 28 to 507 of the family's 1533-position model. The record is from RNAcentral.